This 465-nucleotide ribosomal RNA is filed under the name Vreelandella stevensii. RNAcentral describes it as "partial 16S ribosomal RNA". It matches the Rfam family "Bacterial small subunit ribosomal RNA", at positions 338 to 795 of the family's 1533-position model. Lineage: Bacteria; Pseudomonadati; Pseudomonadota; Gammaproteobacteria; Oceanospirillales; Halomonadaceae. The record is from RNAcentral.
CCUACGGGUGGCUGCAGUGGGGAAUAUUGGACAAUGGGCGAAAGCCUGAUCCAGCCAUGCCGCGUGUGUGAAGAAGGCCUUCGGGUUGUAAAGCACUUUCAGUGGGGAAGAAAGCCUUGGGGCUAAUACCCUCGAGGAAGUACAUCACCCACAGAAGAAGCACCGGCUAACUCCGUGCCAGCAGCCGCGGUAAUACGGAGGGUGCGAGCGUUAAUCGGAAUUACUGGGCGUAAAGCGCGCGUAGGCGGUCUGAUAAGCCGGUUGUGAAAGCCCCGGGCUCAACCUGGGAACGGCAUCCGAAACUGUCAGGCUAGAGUGCAGGAGAGGAAGGUAGAAUUCCCGGUGUAGCGGUGAAAUGCGUAGAGAUCGGGAGGAAUACCAGUGGCGAAGGCGGCCUUCUGGACUGACACUGACGCUGAGGUGCGAAAGCGUGGGUAGCAAACAGGAUUAGAUACCCCUGUAGUC